This 895-nucleotide ribosomal RNA is filed under the name Fusarium oxysporum. Its description in RNAcentral is "LSU rRNA". It matches the Rfam family "Eukaryotic large subunit ribosomal RNA", at positions 38 to 963 of the family's 3401-position model. The record is from RNAcentral. Lineage: Eukaryota; Fungi; Ascomycota; Sordariomycetes; Hypocreales; Nectriaceae. RNAcentral also lists the same sequence under 1 other name.
GCAUAUCAAUAAGCGGAGGAAAAGAAACCAACAGGGAUUGCCCUAGUAACGGCGAGUGAAGCGGCAACAGCUCAAAUUUGAAAUCUGGCUCUCGGGCCCGAGUUGUAAUUUGUAGAGGAUACUUUUGAUGCGGUGCCUUCCGAGUUCCCUGGAACGGGACGCCAUAGAGGGUGAGAGCCCCGUCUGGUUGGAUGCCAAAUCUCUGUAAAGUUCCUUCAACGAGUCGAGUAGUUUGGGAAUGCUGCUCUAAAUGGGAGGUAUAUGUCUUCUAAAGCUAAAUACCGGCCAGAGACCGAUAGCGCACAAGUAGAGUGAUCGAAAGAUGAAAAGCACUUUGAAAAGAGAGUUAAAAAGUACGUGAAAUUGUUGAAAGGGAAGCGUUUAUGACCAGACUUGGGCUUGGUUAAUCAUCUGGGGUUCUCCCCAGUGCACUUUUCCAGUCCAGGCCAGCAUCAGUUUUCCCCGGGGGAUAAAGGCGGCGGGAAUGUGGCUCUCUUCGGGGAGUGUUAUAGCCCACCGUGUAAUACCCUGGGGGGGACUGAGGUUCGCGCAUCUGCAAGGAUGCUGGCGUAAUGGUCAUCAACGACCCGUCUUGAAACACGGACCAAGGAGUCGUCUUCGUAUGCGAGUGUUCGGGUGUCAAACCCCUACGCGUAAUGAAAGUGAACGCAGGUGAGAGCUUCGGCGCAUCAUCGACCGAUCCUGAUGUUCUCGGAUGGAUUUGAGUAAGAGCAUACGGGGCCGGACCCGAAAGAAGGUGAACUAUGCCUGUAUAGGGUGAAGCCAGAGGAAACUCUGGUGGAGGCUCGCAGCGGUUCUGACGUGCAAAUCGAUCGUCAAAUAUGGGCAUGGGGGCGAAAGACUAAUCGAACCUUCUAGUAGCUGGUUUCCGCCG